Non-coding RNA from Sesamum indicum (sesame), 551 nucleotides. NCBI's taxonomy places the organism in Eukaryota, Viridiplantae, Streptophyta, Magnoliopsida, Lamiales, Pedaliaceae. The record is from RefSeq and is a predicted model, not a curated record.
CAUCAAAUAUACAUUUCAAAGGAAGAGAAAGAGACAAGCUCCAAGCAUAUCUGAAGUUGAUGUCUCUCUUGAGACAGAAAAUAAAACAGGAGAUGGGAAAAAUUGCCAUCAGGAACUGGAGCAACACAAGUCCAGCUUGUUAGUAGAGUCAUCGCGAGAUAGUAGGCGGUUGGCCCAAGUUGCUCGACAGCUUAUAUCAUUGUCUGAAAAGAAGUGGUGGCGUUAAACCUGGUUUUCGGCUUAGGAGUACAGUGGGAACGCUGAGCUACAGGAUAAAUGUCUGAAACUCCAGUUGUUCCCAACUAUGCAACAGAGAGAGAGAGAGGGAGAGAGAGAGUUGUUGAUCGGGAUUUGGAAAUUAUGGGCUCCCAUGUCCAAAUAACUGCAACUUAAUCAGUACUGUAGAUUAUCGUUAAUCUCGAUUCAUUUGGGGUUAUGUCCAAAGCUUCCAUUCAAGAGUAAUGCUUUUCCAUUUAUCCAUGUUGCAAUAGGCAUAAUCCAGUGAGUUCAGUUCUUGUUCAGUUGGCCAUGGAGCAGAUUGGGAUUUUCCA